UUCUAACUUUUAUGUUACGCAUGGAUCAUGAUUAGUUUAUGUGCAGAUUGAUUAGAGUCUUCCCAUGACAUUAUAUCAAGGUGCAAAAUUGAUGAUAGUGGCCUCAAAAUAUAGGCUGUUGCUUUGAAGAAACAUAACAGCAUAUAUCCUUUCUUGUCGAAGAUUAGGAAGGUUCACAUUACCUAUCAGCCUGAAAAGUUGUUUCCUCCCACUUCCUUUUAUUGGUCUGUUUGAGUUGAAUUUAUCUAGCGUUCUGUGAUACAAUUGCUGCUCAAGAAGUCCAACCUGUAGGUUGGGUUCCGAAUGAGUAUAAGUGCAGUUGUGUGGUUGCAAAAUCUAAGUAAAUCUAUUGAAACAGGUUUCACACUUUCCAUUUCCCCACGGGAGAUACUAGUGGAUGGUUUGUCAGACUGGUAUUGAUGGAGAAGAGGAUGCUGUGUUAUGGUUUCACUAUAGCCUGCAACGAUGGGUUUAUCACCGUCAAAUCAGCAUGUCAAACUUCUGGAACACAACAGAAGUUGGGAACUCCCUUCUCCUUGGAAGAUUUCCUGGAAUUCUAGAGCACCGGUGAGAGCUAGCUUUCUGUCCUGAGAGUGUUUGAAGAGAAUUCUAACUACAAAAGGAUUUGAAGAGAAAAAGAAUGGUGUUAGCCAAUAGAUGUUUUCUUUCUAAGCAGGUCAAAGAAUCUGUUUCUUCAUAUUCUUUUUCAUUGUGCAGGGUCUGACGAUCUUGGAGUGCAUUUUUCUUGGUCAGUUGGGCUGUGGUGUUCUGUUAGAGAGGACCUUGCUUGUUGAGGGUUGAAUUGUCCUUAAUAUUGGAGAAGCCCUUCCGUUUGUAAAACCAGCAUCCAUUUUGUUUGGAUGGAUGGCUUACCACAUUACUUUUUCUGCAUUGUGGUGGUGCCCUUUAGCUGGUCAGAUUCUUCAGUUGCUUAGAUUUGUUAUAGUUUGUUUAUGAAUG
This is a long non-coding RNA of Eucalyptus grandis, 960 nucleotides long. RefSeq lists it as uncharacterized. NCBI's taxonomy places the organism in Eukaryota, Viridiplantae, Streptophyta, Magnoliopsida, Myrtales, Myrtaceae. The record is from RefSeq and is a predicted model, not a curated record. The transcript has 3 exons.